CGUGGGCCGGGCACCGGUGGCCUGUUCUGCUGCUGCUCAAUGCUGGACAUCGCUGCAACACACACGCUUGGUGCUAGUCGCAGAGCUUCUAAGCGGUAGUGCAGUGGUGAACACCGACUGCCACACAGAGUCAGAACUUAAGUAUACGGCAAGAUUGAGGGAGUGUACCUGCACAUCAGGACAACACUGCUCCCUUCAUUAAGUUGACAUGAGAAUCGCAAAUCUUCAAGGCGCUGAUACUUUGUAAAAUAUGAUUCAUGAAUGGUCAAUUUCAUCUGCCAUAAUGACUGUGCUGAGUAUGGUACGCUGCGGAUUGAUGCUGUGGACAAUUCUGAAAGUGGCCGGGACAAGCCAAAGCAGCGAGGGAAAGGUACCCGUGGCAGGGACCCUUGAGUCACCGCCGAGUGUUGAGGACGACACCAACAACUUUUACCUUCCUUCCAGCCAGCAGAACACAGGUAGUUUACCGGCGUGGGCAGUGUCGGCUGUUGCAUCUCUCAGCACCCACUCUCUCACUGACUUACCCUGGUGGACGUCUCUUACUGCCACUACUGCCAUACGUCUGGACGAGGGGCGCCGCGUCCCGGACUCCAGUCCCUCACUGCCCCAAAAUCUUGUUUCACGAAGCUCGCCUUCAAGCGUUUCUGUCACCAGCCCACCUCACGUCCUACCGAUGCCCCUAAAGCCGCGCCACAAGCCAUCUUCGCCAGACCUCGCCAAAGACUCCAAAUUGCUGCAGGAUUUACACUCUUCUCACCCCCAUCUUUUAUUUGGAAACAAAAACAAAGACGAAAAGAAAAACUACAAUAACAAAGAAAACAAACUUCAAAAUGGACAAAUGAAAAAUGAAACAGAUCUUUCAGAAAGACGAAAGCGAGCCAGUGUCGGGACAUACUACGACAUUCCAGUGAGUGUCGUCAGCUACAGUCCCACCAGCCACUUCUUCAUGCACGAAUUACUCCACCCUCAGCCAACGCUCGGCCAAAAGUCAGUCCUUGAUUUACCUCAAUAUUUCAAAAGAAAUCUAGAAAUUCAAUCUUCGUCCUCUGCCCCCAUAGUUUUUCCAGGAGCAACCACAGCUGCCAUGACCACAACGACGUCCUCACCUCUUAUCGUCUUCCCCACUAAAUCUACCUUCCCGUCAACAAUGUCUCAUAAUGUCACUCUGCCUAUCACCACCAGCAAUCCAGGGCUACAGGAACAAGGCCUAUCCUCCACGUCGCCGACCCCGCCCGAUCCUUUCGUGACGGACAACCGAGUGAUCAUUGUGGCACCGUGCAGAGGGUUUUGUAAAAUAUCAGUAGGUAGAGUGUGUGUUACAGAUUUCAAUUGUCUUGCGCGACAUCCAGGGAAGUGAUCGUCGAAAAGGAGCAAAGAUGACAUGUGCAUUACAUAUAAGAAGAAAAGGUGUGGAAAUUCGGUGACUGCCAGAAUCUACAUAGACACUAAUAUUUUUUCAUUACCCAUUAUAUUGAGGAAUAGGUUGUAAUGUCCAAAAUUACGUGAUUGGAGACAGAGAGAGAGAGAGAGAGAGAGAGAGAGAGAGAGAGAGAGAGAGAGAGAGAGAGAGAGAGAGAAAGAAAGAAAGUGUGUGUCAGGGAAAGUAGUAACCGCUGGAGAAACUCGCACACUGGGCACUGGCAGCGAAGCAGCGGUGAACACAUUGCCACACAUCACUGGAACCCCUCUCCUACAUCGGGAUUUGUGGAAUACACUUGCACGUUAGGUUAGGGAACACACUAUAUUUACAUUUAAAGUAGUGUGUGUGUGUGUGUGUGUGUGUGUGUGUGUGUGUGUGUGUGUGUGUGUGUGUGUGUGUGUGUGUGUGUGUGUGUGUGCAAUAGUAAUAGUAAUAAUAAUAAUGAUGAUAAUGAUAAUAUCAGGAGUAUUCGGUUUGUUUGUUGGCAGCCUUAUCUUCAGAAAACUCACGUGUUACAAGUUAACUUGCAUAUAUCAUAUCUAAAGUAUGCAUUAACCUUAACGAAGUUUCUUGCACAGAGAUAACAUGCCUGCCACUUGACGCCGACCGACGUGGAAAGCCAGCCAUUGUAUUAUCAGGCCAUCCUGAAUAUUUUUUCAAGAACUUGUUUCUCAAACGUCUCCUUACCUCCCACCACCCACCCUCGUAAGCAGCGGGUCACAGCUCCUGAUUUACACCAUGUGCAGUACCUUAUCACAGCUAGAUGAACACGGGCUACACAGCAAAGAAGUCGAGCCAGAGACUUACCCUUGGAAUCGAACUGUGGACCUUUUGAUUGUGAAUCAGAAGAGGUGUCACAGCUUAGAAGGUCAAGGAAAAAGAAAGUGGACCUUGCGUGGUUGUAAGAAUUGGAGGUAUUUUACGGGCGUGGGCAGUGUCGGCUGUCGCUCCUCUCAGCACACACUCUCUCACUGGCUUACCCUGGUGGACGUCUCUUACUGCCACGCCUGCCACACGUCUGGACGAGGGACGCCACGUCCUGGACUCCAGUCUCUCGGUGCACAAAUAUUUUGCUUCAGGAAACUCGCUUCCCAGCAUCUCCGCCACCAGCACACCUCACGUCCUGCCGCUGCCCCUCAAGCCUCGCCACAAGCUAUCCUCGCCAGGCCUCGCCAAAGAUUCCAACUUGCUGCAGACUUUACACUCUUCCCACUCUACCCAUCUUUUAUUUGGAAACAAAAACAAAGACGAAAAGAAAAGCUACAGUAACAAAGAAAAUAUACUUCAAAAUGGACAAAUGAAAAAUGAAACUGAUCUUUCAGAAAGACAAAAGAGAGCCAGUGUCGGGACAUACGACAUUCCAGUGAGAGUCGUCAGCUACAGUCCCACCAGCCACUUCUUCAUGCACGAAUUACUCCACCCUCAGCCAACGCUCGGCCAAAAGUCAGUCCUUGAAUCACCCGAUGAUAUCACACCAAAUAUCCAUGUUCCAUCUUCGUCCUCUUCUGGUAUAGUCUUUCGGGGAUCCACAAAAGAGGUUAUAACUUCUACUGCCCCAACCCCUAACACAAUCAUCACCAUAACACCUCUGCCCUCUCCAGGUCCUGAAAUUAUCCCCGCAGUUCCAUGCCGACGGUGUUAUAUCCCUGUAGGCAGAGAUUGUGUUCCGAACAUUAAUUGCAAUAACAGGUAUCCAUAAUAGCAUAAGAGCAUUUAAAAUCUGGGAAGCUGCAUUAAACCAUCUAACUUACUGAUGACAGUCAUUGUAUAAAUCAUGCUUACCGAUUUCCAUAUAUCCUCACCCAUAAAUUUCUUUAAUAUUCUUUUUAAAACUAAUGCCACUAAUAACGGUUUACUGAACAUAGAAGAAGAGCAGAAUAAAAACUCCGGUGUACUGAAAUUAAAAGGAUUGGGCUCCUCACUGAAUACCAAAAUGUUCUUUAUAGCGAAAGACGGAUUAGAUAAGCUGAUUUUUUUCUGUAACACAAACUUCAUGUUAGAACUCUGUUGCAUAUGUUCUGAAUGUAACACUCGUAUUUUAGAGUAGUUUAUAUAUUACACGGGCCAGGGAAGAAAACAGAAUUUUUCCCAAUGGAAUGGAAAAAAAAAUGUGUGGAAGUUGAUAGCAUACAUUAUUUGCAAUAUCCCAAAAUGUUGACGGCUACUUCUGAGUUGCCAAAAUUUUCUCUCCACCGAGCCUGUUGUCUUGCUGCCUCAUGCAUGCACCCUUGUUUCUCUGAACAUUCCAUUUACAGGCCUCUUCCAUUUAUUUCUCUCUCUCU
Molecule: RNA transcript, 3702 nt
Organism: Portunus trituberculatus (swimming crab)
Lineage: Eukaryota; Metazoa; Arthropoda; Malacostraca; Decapoda; Portunidae
Exons: 3
Source: RefSeq, a predicted model, not a curated record